RNAcentral lists this transfer RNA (76 nucleotides) under Malaciobacter halophilus. RNAcentral describes it as "Arcobacter halophilus tRNA-Cys". It matches the Rfam family "tRNA". From Rfam's summary of the family: Transfer RNA (tRNA) molecules are approximately 80 nucleotides in length. Their secondary structure includes four short double-helical elements and three loops (D, anti-codon, and T loops). Lineage: Bacteria; Pseudomonadati; Campylobacterota; Epsilonproteobacteria; Campylobacterales; Arcobacteraceae. RNAcentral also lists the same sequence under 1 other name. The record is from RNAcentral.
GGAGGUAUAGCAAAGUUGGUAAUGCACCUGAUUGCAAAUCAGAUAUUCGUCGGUUCAAGUCCGGCUACCUCCUCCA